UACGUAGGGUGCAAGCGUUAAUCGGAAUUACUGGGCGUAAAGGGCGCGUAGGCGGCCUUCUAAGUCGAACGUGAAAUCCCCGGGCUCAACCCGGGAACUGCGUCCGAUACUGGAAGGCUUGAAUCCGGGAGAGGGAUGCGGAAUUCCAGGUGUAGCGGUGAAAUGCGUAGAUAUCUGGAGGAACACCGGUGGCGAAGGCGGCAUCCUAGACCGGCAUUGACGCUGAGGCGCGAAAGCCAGGGGAGCAAACGGG
This 253-nucleotide ribosomal RNA is filed under the name uncultured bacterium. RNAcentral's name for it is "partial 16S ribosomal RNA". It matches the Rfam family "Bacterial small subunit ribosomal RNA", at positions 524 to 776 of the family's 1533-position model. The record is from RNAcentral.